This 1398-nucleotide ribosomal RNA is filed under the name uncultured bacterium. Its description in RNAcentral is "16S ribosomal RNA". It matches the Rfam family "Bacterial small subunit ribosomal RNA". The record is from RNAcentral.
UUAGAGUUUGAUCCUGGCUCAGGAUGAACGCUAGCGGCAGGCUUAACACAUGCAAGUCGAGGGGCAGCGAGGGUAAUAGCAAUAUUACCUGUCGGCGACCGGCGCACGGGUGCGUAACGCGUAUGCAACCUACCAUCAACAGGGGGAUAACACUGAGAAAUUGGUACUAAUACCCCAUAAUAUCUCAUGCGGCAUCGCAUGGGGUUGAAAACUCCGGUGGUUGAUGAUGGGCAUGCGUUGGAUUAGCUGGUUGGUGAGGUAACGGCUCACCAAGGCGACGAUACAUAGGGGGACUGAGAGGUUAACCCCCCACAUUGGUACUGAGACACGGACCAAACUCCUACGGGAGGCAGCAGUGAGGAAUAUUGGUCAAUGGACGCAAGUCUGAACCAGCCAUGCCGCGUGCAGGAUGACGGCUCUAUGAGUUGUAAACUGCUUUUGUACGAGGGUAAACCCCGAUACGUGUAUUGGGUUGAAAGUAUCGUACGAAUAAGGAUCGGCUAACUCCGUGCCAGCAGCCGCGGUAAUACGGAGGAUCCGAGCGUUAUCCGGAUUUAUUGGGUUUAAAGGGUGCGUAGGCGGUUUGAUAAGUUAGAGGUGAAAUGUCGGGGCUCAACCCCGAAACUGCCUCUAAUACUGUUGGACUAGAGAAUAGUUGCGGUAGGCGGAAUGUAUGGUGUAGCGGUGAAAUGCUUAGAGAUCAUACAGAACACCGAUUGCGAAGGCAGCUUACCAAACUAUAUCUGACGUUGAGGCACGAAAGCGUGGGUAGCAAACAGGAUUAGAUACCCUGGUAGUCCACGCAGUAAGCGAUGAUAACUCGUUGUCGGCGAUACACAGUCGGUGACUAAGCGAAAGCGAUAAGUUAUCCACCUGGGGAGUACGUUCGCAAGAAUGAAACUCAAAGGAAUUGACGGGGGCCCGCACAAGCGGAGGAACAUGUGGUUUAAUUCGAUGAUACGCGAGGAACCUUACCCGGGCUUGAAAGUUAGCGACGACGCUUGAAAGAGCGUUUCCCUUCGGGGCGCGAAACUAGGUGCUGCAUGGUUGUCGUCAGCUCGUGCCGUGAGGUGUCGGGUUAAGUCCCAUAACGAGCGCAACCCCUACUGUUAGUUGCCAUCAGGUGAUGCUGGGCACUCUAGCGGGACUGCCGGUGUAAGCCGAGAGGAAGGUGGGGAUGACGUCAAAUCAGCACGGCCCUUACGUCCGGGGCCACACACGUGUUACAAUGGUAGGUACAGAGGGCAGCUACCCUGCGAAGGGGUGCGAAUCUCGAAAGCCUAUCUCAGUUCGGAUUGGAGGCUGAAACCCGCCUCCAUGAAGUUGGAUUCGCUAGUAAUCGCGCAUCAGCCAUGGCGCGGUGAAUACGUUCCCGGGCCUUGCACACACCGCCCGUCA